This 519-nucleotide ribosomal RNA is filed under the name uncultured bacterium. Its description in RNAcentral is "bacterial SSU rRNA". It matches the Rfam family "Bacterial small subunit ribosomal RNA", at positions 8 to 518 of the family's 1533-position model. The record is from RNAcentral.
AGAGUUGAUCAUGGCUCAGGAUGAACGCUAGCGACAGGCUAACACAUGCAAGUCGAGGGGCAGACAAUAAAAGUAGCAAUACGUUGGUGGCGACCGGCGCACGGGUGAGUAACGCGUAUGCAACCUACCUAUCAGAAGGGGAACUAACCGGCGAAAGUCGGACUAAUACCGCAUAAAACAGGGGCACCGCAUGGUGAUAUUUGUUAAAGAAAUUCGCUGAUAGAUGGGCAUGCGUUCCAUUAGGUAGUUGGUGAGGUAACGGCUCACCAAGCCGACGAUGGAUAGGGGAACUGAGAGGUUGGUCCCCCACACUGGUACUGAGACACGGACCAGACUCCUACGGGAGGCAGCAGUGAGGAAUAUUGGUCAAUGGGCGGGAGCCUGAACCAGCCAAGUCGCGUGAAGGAAGAAGGAUCUAUGGUUCGUAAACUUCUUUUGCAGGGGAAUAAAGUGCAGGACGUGUCCUGUUUUGUAUGUACCCUGAGAAUAAGGAUCGGCUAACUCCGUGCCAGCCGCUGC